CCUACGGGCGGCAGCAGUGAGGAAUAUUGGUCAAUGGCCGGAAGGCUGAACCAGCCAAGCCGCGUGAAGGACGAAGGUGCCAAGCAUUGUAAACUUCUUUUGUCAAGGGACAAAAUCAGGCUCGAGAGCCUGACCGAGGGUACUUGAAGAAAAAGCACCGGCUAACUCCGUGCCAGCAGCCGCGGUAAUACGUAGGGGGCAAGCGUUAUCCGGAUUUACUGGGGGGAAAGGGGGCGCAGACGGGGAUGAAAGCCAGGAGGGAAAGCCCGGGGCCCAACCCCGGGACUGCUCUUGGAACUGCGUGGCUGGAGUGCAGGAGGGGCAGGCGGAAUGCCUGGUGUAGCGGUGAAAUGCGUAGAUAUCAGGAGGAACACCGGUGGCGAAGGCGGCCUGCUGGACUGCAACUGACGUUGAGGCCCGAAAGCGUGGGGAGCAAACAGGAUUAGAUACCCCAGUAGUC
Molecule: ribosomal RNA, 460 nt
Filed under: uncultured bacterium
Lineage: Bacteria
Description: partial 16S ribosomal RNA
Rfam family: Bacterial small subunit ribosomal RNA
Source: RNAcentral